CCUACGGGCGGCAGCAGUGAGGAAUAUUGGUCAAUGGACGAGAGUCUGAACCAGCCAAGUAGCGUGAAGGAUGACUGCCCUAUGGGUUGUAAACUUCUUUUAUAUGGGAGUAAAAUGUUCCACGUGUGGGAUUUUGUAUGUACCCUAUGAAUAAGGAUCGGCUAACUCCGUGCCAGCAGCCGCGGUAAUACGGGGGGUCCGAGCGUUAUCCGGAUUUAUUGGGUUUAAAGGGAGCGUAGGGGGAUUGUUAAAUCAGUGGUGAAAGUUUGCGGAUCAAACGCAGAAUUGCAGUUGAAACUGGCAGGCUUGAGUACAGUAGAGGUAGGCGGAAUGCGUGGUGUAGCGGUGAAAUGCUUAGAUAUCACGAAGAACUACGAUUGCGAAGGCAGCUCACUGGACUGCAACUGACACUGAGGCUCGAAAGUGUGGGUAUCAAACAGGAUUAGAUACCCGAGUAGUC
Molecule: ribosomal RNA, 460 nt
Filed under: uncultured bacterium
Lineage: Bacteria
Description: partial 16S ribosomal RNA
Rfam family: Bacterial small subunit ribosomal RNA
Source: RNAcentral